RNAcentral lists this ribosomal RNA (497 nucleotides) under uncultured bacterium. RNAcentral describes it as "partial 16S ribosomal RNA". It matches the Rfam family "Bacterial small subunit ribosomal RNA", at positions 28 to 507 of the family's 1533-position model. The record is from RNAcentral.
GAUGAACGCUGGCGGCGUGCCUAAUACAUGCAAGUCGAGCGAACGGACGAGAAGCUUGCUUCUCUGAUGUUAGCGGCGGACGGGUGAGUAACACGUGGAUAACCUACCUAUAAGACUGGGAUAACUUCGGGAAACCGGAGCUAAUACCGGAUAAUAUUUUGAACCGCAUGGUUCAAAAGUGAAAGACGGUCUUGCUGUCACUUAUAGAUGGAUCCGCGCUGCAUUAGCUAGUUGGUAAGGUAACGGCUUACCAAGGCAACGAUGCAUAGCCGACCUGAGAGGGUGAUCGGCGACACGGGAACGGAGACACGGUCCAGACUCCUACGGGAGGCAGCAGUAGGGAAUCUUACGCAAUGGGCGAAAGCCUGACGGAGCAACGCCGCGUGAGUGAUGAAGGUCUUCGGAUCGUAAAACUCUGUUAUUAGGGAAGAACAUAUGUGUAAGUAACUGUGCACAUCUUGACGGUACCUAAUCAGAAAGCCACGGCUAACUACGUG